CCCUUAGAUGUCCUGGGCUGCACGCGCGCUACACUGAUGUGUCCAGUAAGCACCUAACCUAUUCCGAGAGGAGCGGGUAACCUUAGCAAAGCACAUCGUGAUGGGGAUAGAUUAUUGCAAUUAUUAGUCUUGAACGAGGAAUUCCUAGUAAGCACAAGUCAUCAGCUUGUGUUGAUUACGUCCCUGCCCUUUGUACACACCGCCCGUCGCUCCUACCGAUUGAAUGUUCCGGUGGGCUCUUCGGACUGCGCGGUCUGCAGUUUCUGCGUUCCGUGCGGAAAGUUGUGCAAACCUUAACAUUUAGAGGAAGGAGAAGUCGUAACA
RNAcentral lists this ribosomal RNA (324 nucleotides) under uncultured eukaryote. RNAcentral's name for it is "partial 18S ribosomal RNA". It matches the Rfam family "Eukaryotic small subunit ribosomal RNA", at positions 1470 to 1796 of the family's 1831-position model. The record is from RNAcentral.